AUUGAACGCUGGCGGCAGGCCUAACACAUGCAAGUCGAGCGAGCCGCGGACGGGUGAGACAUGUCUGGGAAACUCCCUGAUGGAGGGGGAUAAUUACUGGAACCGGUACCUAAUACCGACUACCGUCAGAUGUUCCCAGAUUGGAUUAGCUAGUAGGUGGGGUAAUGGCUCACCUCGGCGACGAUGCAUAGCUGGUCUGAGAGGAUGACCAGCCACACUGGAACGGAGACACGGUCCAGACUCCUACGGGAGGCAGCAGUGGGGAAUAUUGCACAAGGGGCGCAAGCCUGAUGCAGCCAAGCCGCGUGUGUGAAGAAGGCCUUCGGGUUGUAAAGCACUUUCAGUGGGGAAGCGGUACUCGCAGAAGAAGCACCGGCUAACUCCGUGCCAGCAGCCGCGGUAAUUC
This 406-nucleotide ribosomal RNA is filed under the name uncultured bacterium. RNAcentral describes it as "partial 16S ribosomal RNA". It matches the Rfam family "Bacterial small subunit ribosomal RNA", at positions 30 to 526 of the family's 1533-position model. The record is from RNAcentral.